Molecule: long non-coding RNA, 248 nt
Filed under: Daucus carota (carrot)
Lineage: Eukaryota; Viridiplantae; Streptophyta; Magnoliopsida; Apiales; Apiaceae
Description: long non-coding RNA (DCAR_LNC002497)
Source: RNAcentral
CUUCUUCUUCUCCGGGACAGAAACAACACUCUCUUUAACAAUAUUACUCUCAGCACCACCACCACCAAGAAUCUUGGCACCACCUCUGGGAGAAAACAAGGCACCAUUCUGAGCCACCUCACCAUCAGAUCCAGCAUUACCAGAAAAUACCCACUUGCCAGAACCACCAUUUAUUGUAUCAGAAAACACCCUUUUGGCCCCUGAAGUCACCAGGUGAGAAUAGCCACUUUUGCCAUCUUUUUCUUCAC